RNAcentral lists this ribosomal RNA (291 nucleotides) under uncultured bacterium. RNAcentral's name for it is "partial 16S ribosomal RNA". It matches the Rfam family "Bacterial small subunit ribosomal RNA", at positions 505 to 796 of the family's 1533-position model. The record is from RNAcentral.
GUGCCAGCAGCCGCGGUAAUACGAAGGGUGCAAGCGUUAUUCGGAUUUACUGGGCGUAAAGCGCGCGCAGGCGGAUAGGUAAGCCAGAUGUGAAAUCUCGGGGCUCAACCUCGAAACUGCGUCUGAAACUAUCUAUCUAGAGUAUUGGAGGGGGAAGUGGAAUUUCACAUGUAGGGGUAAAAUCCGUAGAGAUGCGAAGGAACACCAGAGGCGAAGGCGACUUCCUGGCCAAUUACUGACGCUGAGGCGCGAAAGCGUGGGGAGCAAACAGGAUUAGAAACCCAGUAGUCC